This 247-nucleotide ribosomal RNA is filed under the name uncultured bacterium. RNAcentral's name for it is "partial 16S ribosomal RNA". It matches the Rfam family "Bacterial small subunit ribosomal RNA", at positions 524 to 769 of the family's 1533-position model. The record is from RNAcentral.
UACGUAGGUGGCAAGCGUUGUCCGGAUUCACUGGGCGUAAAGCGCGCGCAGGCGGUCUUCUACGUCUGGGGUGAAAACCCGGGGCUCAACCCCGGGACUGCCUUGGAUACGGGAAGACUUGAGGAUCGGAGAGGCAAGGGGAAUUCCACGUGUAGCGGUGAAAUGCGUAGAGAUGUGGAGGAACACCUGUGGCGAAGGCGCCUUGCUGGCCGAUUUCUGACGCUGAGGCGCGAAAGCGUGGGGGAGC